Spinacia oleracea (spinach) is the source of this 127-nucleotide non-coding RNA. NCBI's taxonomy places the organism in Eukaryota, Viridiplantae, Streptophyta, Magnoliopsida, Caryophyllales, Amaranthaceae. The record is from Rfam.
GAGCAAGGUCAUCCUAUCAGAUGAUGAAACCUUGCAUUGAAGGUUGGCAACAUAAAAUAUAGGGUGAUUCUCCGUGCCUUUCAAACUCUAUUUGUGUUGAUUACGGCCUCGAACAAGUCACCACAUU